Molecule: non-coding RNA, 1300 nt
Organism: Ictidomys tridecemlineatus (thirteen-lined ground squirrel)
Lineage: Eukaryota; Metazoa; Chordata; Mammalia; Rodentia; Sciuridae
Source: RefSeq, a predicted model, not a curated record
GUCAGAGCAGGGAGACGUGGUGCUGGUGGCGCAGCCCGGGGUGGACAGGCUGGGCAGGGCUUCUUCGGCACCUCCCUUGCUGGGCAGGGAGGCCCCGCCCGUGCUCAGAAAGUUGCAGGACCUCUCAUGGAGGCCAGAGCGUGAGCCUCCUGUUCCCGACAACCAGCAGAAGGAACUUUCCAGUUAGCUAAGGAAAGGUGUCCGCUGCGGACAGGCCCAUGCUGGGCUGGCCAGGAGGGAAAGCCAGCUGCCCAGCCAGACUUGGAACAAUGCUCAGCUGCUGAGUAAAAACAGAUGCCGCUUCCCGUUACAGAAUGAGCUGCCGGCCCGGCCCCAGGGCCAGGCUUCUCCUCCCAGAGGAUCAGCUUCGCCAGGCAGAAGCCAAUGAGAGGACCCCACCUCCUCACCCCCGCUGAGUGCCUCCUGGGAGGGGCCGGGAGGGCUGGCUUCCUGCUGAGCUAGACUCCGCACUGGCCUCUUCCUGUUAGGGCUGGGAAAGCCAGGGCCAGGCAGCUGGGGCUCUGUCUGGGGCGCUUGCAGAGCGAGGUCUGUGCAGGGACACUUUCUUUUCCUUAGCUGCGGGGCUCGGCUGCCUGUGAUGGCGUGACUGCAGCCUCAGUGCCCACUGAGGUAGCUUUUCUUGCUCUUGCUCUGGAAGGUGCUGUUCGCCUCCUCGCGGACGAACCACCGAUAUCUCCAGCAAGACCAGCUCGGGCCAGCCUGACGCUGCCAGCCCGACAGCCAGGCACAGACCUCCAGGGGAGCUGGGCUGCCAACUGUGCACCUCCAUGUCCAGAUAAAAUGAAAAUUUUUGAUGGGAAAACGGUAACUAACCUCACAGACCAGGAUCAAAGGCCAGGAUCCGGACCAAGACCACAGGAAUCUCAGCCACAGGACAUCACACCCUCAUCCUUGGGCAGAGUCUCAGAACCAACCCUCUGGGAGCCAGAGCCUGCCUGGUGCUCACAGAGGUGGGUCCCAGGAUGGCUCCCAGAGGUGGACUCCAGGUGGACUCCACAUCCAUUAAAGACAGACAGAAGCAGAGGUGGAGUAGAGAAGCAUAUUGACUUUGUGACAAGGUGGAGGGUGACUAUGAGAUAUUUUGUAGCACAGAAUUGUUCUAGUUAAAUUGUAACAAGGAAGUUAAAAGAGUCUUGAAUUUAAGGAUGAAUCGUGUAGUUGCUUUUUAAAAAAAAAGAAUUGUUCAGAAUUUGUGCUCUAUCAUUGGGAACAAACGGCUGUCAGAAGCAAGCUUCUUGGCAGAUAUUAAAGGAGUAACAAUAAACACUGUUAAUUUGUA